This 321-nucleotide ribosomal RNA is filed under the name uncultured bacterium. RNAcentral's name for it is "bacterial SSU rRNA". It matches the Rfam family "Bacterial small subunit ribosomal RNA", at positions 1062 to 1381 of the family's 1533-position model. The record is from RNAcentral.
GUGCCGUGAGGUGUUGGGUUAAGUCCCGCAACGAGCGCAACCCUUGUCCUUAGUUGCCCCCGGGUAAUGCUGUGGCACUCUAAGGAAACUGCCCGUGUUAAGCGGGAGGAAGGUGGGGACGACGUCAAGUCAUCAUGGCCUUUAUAUCCAGGGCUACACACGUGCUACAAUGGAUGGUACAGAGAGUUGCGAGUUCGUGAGAAGGAGCUAAUCUCAAAAAACCAUCCUCAGUUCGGAUCGAAGUCUGCAACUCGACUUCGUGAAGCUGGAAUCGCUAGUAAUCGCGGAUCAGCAUGCCGCGGUGAAUACGUUCCCGGGCCU